GAAUAUUGGACAAUGGGAGAGAUCCUGAUCCAGCAAUCCCGCGUGAGUGAUGAAGGCCCUCGGGUCGUAAAGCUCUUUCAGCAGGGAAGAAGAUCUGACGGUACCUGCAGAAGAAGCACCGGCUAACUCCGUUCCAGCCGCCGCGGUAAUACGGAGGGUGCAAGCGUUGUUCGGAAUCAUUGGGCGUAAAGCGCGUGUAGGCGGUUUCGUAAGUCUGGUGUGAAAGCCCGGGGCUUAACCCCGGAAGUGCACUGGAUACUGCGAAACUAGAGGACGAGAGAGGGAAGUGGAAUUCCUGGUGUAGGGGUGAAAUCCGUAGAUAUCAGGAGGAACAUCGGUGGCGAAGGCGACUUCCUGGCUCGUAACUGACGCUGAGACGCGAAAGCGUGGGGAGCAAACAGG
This 402-nucleotide ribosomal RNA is filed under the name uncultured bacterium. Its description in RNAcentral is "bacterial SSU rRNA". It matches the Rfam family "Bacterial small subunit ribosomal RNA", at positions 359 to 776 of the family's 1533-position model. The record is from RNAcentral.